UUAUCAUUUAGAGGAAGGAAAAGUUGUAAUAAGGUUUCCGUAGGUGAACCUGCAGAAGGAUCAUUGUCGAAACCUGCCCAGUAGAAAGACCCAAGAACAAGUUAAACAUUCACCCGAGGGGGCCAGGGGCAUCGACGCGUCCCGGAUCCCCCCACGCCGGGAGCAUGCUUCUUCGGCCUGCGCCCUCGGCUUCCAAAUAACCCCCGGCACGAAAUGCGUCAAGGAAAAACAACAAAAAGAGCCAUGUCRUCGGGGCCCCUGAAAUGCCCUGGCAGCUCAUUCGUGAUUGGUUAAAGUCAAAAYGACUCUCGGCUCUCGCAUUGAUGAAGAACGUAGCGAAAUGCGAUACUUGGUGUGAAUUAUAGAAUCCCGUGAACCAUCGAGUCUUUGAAUGCAAGUUGCACCCAAAGUUGGGCGUCACACAAAGUUGCCCCCCCAAAACCCAUGCCGCUCCUCGUGGGCGCACGUGGAACCAGCGGGGGGCAGACGAUGACCUCUCAUGAGCGCCUAGCCUCAUGGUUGGCCCAAAUUCGAGUCCUUGAUCACGUCAUCAUGGCGACUGGUAGUUGUCGAUCAUUUGGUGCCCUCGGUGCCCCGUUACUUGCAUUGUCCGCCUAUCGAGACUCCGACAAACCCCAAUGCGCCCGUCACGGGCGCUUCCAACGCGACCCCAGGUCAGGCGGGGCUACACAAUGAGUUUAAGCAUAUCAAUA
RNAcentral lists this unclassified non-coding RNA (713 nucleotides) under Broussonetia kazinoki (kozo). RNAcentral describes it as "partial contains small subunit ribosomal RNA, internal transcribed spacer 1, 5.8S ribosomal RNA, internal transcribed spacer 2, and large subunit ribosomal RNA". The record is from RNAcentral. Lineage: Eukaryota; Viridiplantae; Streptophyta; Magnoliopsida; Rosales; Moraceae.